This is a long non-coding RNA of Acyrthosiphon pisum (pea aphid), 475 nucleotides long. RefSeq lists it as uncharacterized. Lineage: Eukaryota; Metazoa; Arthropoda; Insecta; Hemiptera; Aphididae. The transcript is spliced from 4 exons. The record is from RefSeq and is a predicted model, not a curated record.
AAAAAGUUACUGGCUUCUAUGAUGGUAAAUCUACCAAAAACAAUUUGAAACUAUCUAAAUGUAGUUUACUGUUACAGCUAUAGCAAGUUUUUAUACAGCGUAUUUGGAACGUAAAAUCCAAGAAAGUUUACCAGGAGACUUCACUAUCGAGAAUCCAGUAACUACAUACUGUAGAUCAGUUAUUCCAGGAGAUACAAACACUUAUUUCACGACACUUUUUACAAAAUGAAUCAGAAUCUGAUGAUGAGUAAACGUACACUUUUCAACACCCCCGGAACUUCUUACUGCAAUAAGAAUACCUAUUCCAGGACAGAAAGACGAUAUUUUUAAUAACCUUAUAAUAUUAUAUAUUUCUAUUUUGUCUAAUUAUUUUAUGUAAAAUUAAAUUGUCUAAUACAAUAAUAAUAUAUGAACUUGAUUCGUAUUAUAUUGUUAGGUUUUUGUUAACUCCCAAAAUAUAUGGAUUAUAUCAUUA